UGUACUGUUUGAGACACCAAAUACAUUGCAAUGAGAAUUCAGGGGAAGAUAUAGCUCAAAAGAUUUCCAUCAACAAAUUCUAAAUGAUACUUUUGCCUGACAGAACUGCAUAGCUCUGUGCCUUGAUGGCACUAGAUAUCGACUUGCAAUCCACAUCCUAUCUAGGGAGCAAACUAGCAGAGCAAGUACUCCAGUAGCUCAAGCAAGCAAUCAGCCAAAGCUGAUCACAGGUACAAUAUAAAAAAACACUAGUCCAUACAUCAGCCCAACCAAUCUCAAC
This 280-nucleotide long non-coding RNA is filed under the name Setaria viridis. RNAcentral describes it as "long non-coding RNA (SVIR_LNC005218)". The record is from RNAcentral. Lineage: Eukaryota; Viridiplantae; Streptophyta; Magnoliopsida; Poales; Poaceae.